Molecule: ribosomal RNA, 771 nt
Filed under: uncultured Vagococcus sp.
Lineage: Bacteria; Bacillati; Bacillota; Bacilli; Lactobacillales; Enterococcaceae
Description: bacterial SSU rRNA
Rfam family: Bacterial small subunit ribosomal RNA
Source: RNAcentral
GACGAACGCUGGCGGCGUGCCUAAUACAUGCAAGUCGAACGCACGAAGUUGAAGAGCUUGCUCUUUAACCAAGUGAGUGGCGGACGGGUGAGUAACACGUGGGUAACCUACCCAUUAGAGGGGGAUAACAUUCGGAAACGGAUGCUAAUACCGCAUAGUUUCAGGAAUCGCGUGAUUCGUGAAGGAAAGGUGGCUUCGGCUACCACUAAUGGAUGGACCCGCGGCGUAUUAGCUAGUUGGUGAGGUAAUGGCUCACCAAGGCAAUGAUACGUAGCCGACCUGAGAGGGUGAUCGGCCACACUGGGACUGAGACACGGCCCAGACUCCUACGGGAGGCAGCAGUAGGGAAUCUUCCGCAAUGGACGAAAGUCUGACGGAGCAACGCCGCGUGAGUGAAGAAGGUUUUCGGAUCGUAAAACUCUGUUGUUAAAGAAGAACAAGGAUGAGAGUAACUGCUCAUCCCCUGACGGUAUUUAACCAGAAAGCCACGGCUAACUACGUGCCAGCAGCCGCGGUAAUACGUAGGUGGCAAGCGUUGUCCGGAUUUAUUGGGCGUAAAGCGAGCGCAGGCGGUUCUUUAAGUCUGAUGUGAAAGCCCCCGGCUCAACCGGGGAGGGUCAUUGGAAACUGGAGAACUUGAGUGCAGAAGAGGAGAGUGGAAUUCCACGUGUAGCGGUGAAAUGCGUAGAUAUGUGGAGGAACACCAGUGGCGAAGGCGACUCUCUGGUCUGUAACUGACGCUGAGGCUCGAAAGCGUGGGGAGCAAACAGG